This 353-nucleotide ribosomal RNA is filed under the name Hemidactylus pumilio. RNAcentral's name for it is "partial 12S ribosomal RNA". It matches the Rfam family "Bacterial small subunit ribosomal RNA", at positions 801 to 1366 of the family's 1533-position model. Lineage: Eukaryota; Metazoa; Chordata; Lepidosauria; Squamata; Gekkonidae. The record is from RNAcentral.
GUAAACCCAGACAGCAAACCCGCUGCCCGCCAGAGUAUUACAAGUGAAAAACUUAAAACUCAAAGGACUUGACGGCACUCCACAUCACACUAGAGGAGCCUGUCCUAUAAUCGAUAACCCACGUUAUACCUCACCUGCCCUUGCACCCAGCCUAUAUACCGCCGCCCACCGCCCGCCUUACAAAAGCACCACAGCGGGCCAACCAGACCGCUGACACGUCAGGUCAAGGUGUAGCUUACGGGCAGGAAGAGAUGGGCUACAUUUUCUGCCCCAGCAGAACACACCACCAGCACCAUGCAAUUGUGCCAUAAAGGAGGAUUUANCAGUAAGCUGGGCAAGACAGCCCAACUGAA